Molecule: ribosomal RNA, 371 nt
Filed under: 2,4-D-degrading bacterium 029
Lineage: Bacteria; Pseudomonadati; Pseudomonadota; Betaproteobacteria; Burkholderiales
Description: bacterial SSU rRNA
Rfam family: Bacterial small subunit ribosomal RNA
Source: RNAcentral
UGUUAGUGGGGGAUAGCCCCGGGCGAAACCCGGAUUAAUACCGCAUAACGUUNUGCGGAGGAAAGCGGGGGGAUCCUUCGGGGACCUCGCGCUACAGGGGCGGCCGAUGGCAGAUUAGCUAGUUGGUGGGGUAAAGGCCUACCAAGGCGACGAUCUGUAGCUGGUCUGAGAGGACGACCAGCCACACUGGGACUGAGACACGGCCCAGACUCCUACGGGAGGCAGCAGUGGGGAAUUUUGGACAAUGGGCGCAAGCCUGAUCCAGCAAUGCCGCGUGUGUGAAGAAGGCCUUCGGGUUGUAAAGCACUUUUGUCCGGAAAGAAAACCUCGUGGUUAAUACCCGUGGGGGAUGACGGUACCGGAAGAAUAAG